RNAcentral lists this small nuclear RNA (107 nucleotides) under Rhinolophus ferrumequinum (greater horseshoe bat). The record is from RNAcentral. Lineage: Eukaryota; Metazoa; Chordata; Mammalia; Chiroptera; Rhinolophidae.
GUGCUCACUUCAGCAGCACAGAUACUAAAACUGGAACGAUAUAGAGAAGAUUAGCAUGGCCCCUGAGACAGGAUGACACGCAAAUUCAUGAAGCAUUCCAUAUUUUU